GCGUAACACCAUUCCAUUUCCAUCAGACCGACAAGAAAUUUCUCAAAAUCCAUCUGUUGGGCCAUAAAACUUUAGACAUGUUGAGGUGGGUCUUGAAAGUAUUAGGUCGGUUCAUUGGGCCAGCCCAUUGAGUGGAUAUUAUCUUUAUUUAGGGCCUAUGAAGUAUUGGGCUGUGACAGUGGGCCGAAUGACUAGAUGAG
This 200-nucleotide long non-coding RNA is filed under the name Panax ginseng (ginseng). Its description in RNAcentral is "long non-coding RNA (PGIN_LNC019216)". The record is from RNAcentral. Lineage: Eukaryota; Viridiplantae; Streptophyta; Magnoliopsida; Apiales; Araliaceae.